Molecule: ribosomal RNA, 1191 nt
Filed under: Triticum aestivum (bread wheat)
Lineage: Eukaryota; Viridiplantae; Streptophyta; Magnoliopsida; Poales; Poaceae
Description: partial small subunit ribosomal RNA
Source: RNAcentral
AUGGACGGCGACAGGCCGACUCCGGCGGCCGCGGCCGCGUCGGUGAGGUCGGUGCUCGGCGACGACGACCUCUUCCGCGAGAUCCUCCUCCGCCUCGGCUUCCCCAACUGCCUCGUCCGCGCCUCCCUCGUCUCCAAGCGGUGGCUCUUCCACGUCUCCGACCCGGCCUUCCUCUGCCUCUUCCGCGAGCGCAACCCGCCCCGCCUCCUCGGCUUCUGCGUCAGCAACCGCAGUCCCCAGUGCCCCUGGUAUGAGUUCGUGCAGCUCCCGCAGUCCCCGGAGCUCGCCGCCCUCGUACGCCGCGGGGCCUCCUCCUGCAACGACGCCUUCCGCCGCAGCUGCCAAUGCCAGGGUAUCCAACACGUCCGGAACGGCCGCCUCAUCGCCUGGUUCUCCAACGACGGAAGGCUCAAGCACUCCAUCCUCGCGCCGCUGCUCGCCGGGGAGUCCGAAGUGGUCCUCCCGCCGACCCCGCCGAUCUCACCGCCCCACCGGGAGGAGCCCGCUCUAGGGGUGUUCAGUAGGAUUAUCCUACCCGAGGAUGGGAGCCGCGGCUUCAUCACCUUGGAGGUCCCGAAUGCUGCAGCCUUCCUUACAAAAAUGCUACCACCCGUCCGUGGCAAGGUUUUCAUGGUGACCAGCUUUGGGUGCAUCCUGGGUCUAGAUUUGGCCGCGGCAAGGUUCCUCAAGCUCGAGCUCCCAGCUCAAAUAGGGCGCAAUUACAUGCUCUCAUCUGCCGAGGGUUCCGGGAUAUAUCUUGUCAAUGCAGAUGGGUUUCAGCUCAGUGUGUGGCUCCAUCGGAUGAUGAGCAACAGCGAUGGUGCGGGCGGCUGGCUGCUGGUGGACUCAUUUUGUGUCCGCGAGGCAUACAGUUCUGCUGGUCACAAUUGGGUUUGGAUUCCACAAGAUGGCGAUUUUCUUGGUGUUGCUGCAGUUGGGGACAAUGCCGAGUUUGUAUUCUUGGAUUAUGUGAGAUAUGGUGUUGUCCUUUAUGUUCAUCUGAGGAGCAGGGUGGUUGAGAAGGUGUAUGAGCAGGCACCGUAUCAUCAUGGAUUUUUUCGGCUGGGUUUGAGCCACAUACAUGUCUCUCCCUUUAUGAUGAUCUGGCCGCCUGUUUUCCCUACACUGAAAAGGGACACAAUCAAGAGCAAUGAUCCGGCUGUGCUUUGGUCUUUGAACUAUCAUCGCUAG